CGUGUAGGCGGCUUUGCAAGUCCGUUGUGAAAACUCGAGGCUCAACCUCGAGACGCCGGUGGAAACUGCAAAGCUAGAGUCCGGAAGAGGAGAGUGGAAUUCCUGGUGUAGCGGUGAAAUGCGCAGAUAUCAGGAAGAACACCCGUGGCGAAGGCGGCUCUCUGGGACGGUACUGACGCUGAGACGCGAAAGCGUGGGGAGCGAACA
Molecule: ribosomal RNA, 207 nt
Filed under: uncultured bacterium
Lineage: Bacteria
Description: partial 16S ribosomal RNA
Rfam family: Bacterial small subunit ribosomal RNA
Source: RNAcentral